This 446-nucleotide ribosomal RNA is filed under the name uncultured bacterium. RNAcentral describes it as "partial 16S ribosomal RNA". It matches the Rfam family "Bacterial small subunit ribosomal RNA", at positions 338 to 795 of the family's 1533-position model. The record is from RNAcentral.
CCUACGGGGGGCUGCAGUCGAGAAUCAUUCACAAUGGGGGAAACCCUGAUGGUGCGACGCCGCGUGGGGGAAUGAAGGUCUUCGGAUUGUAAACCCCUGUCAUGUGGGAGCAAAUUAAAAAGAUAGUACCACAAGAGGAAGAGACGGCUAACUCUGUGCCAGCAGCCGCGGUAAUACAGAGGUCUCAAGCGUUGUUCGGAAUCACUGGGCGUAAGGCGUGCGUAGGCUGUUUCGUAAGUCGUGUGUGAAAGGCGCGGGCUCAACCCGCGGACGGCACAUGAGACUGCGAGACUAGAGUAAUGGAGGGGGAACCGGAAUUCUCGGUGUAGCAGUGAAAUGCGUAGAUAUCGAGAGGAACACUCGUGGCGAAGGCGGGUUCCUGGACAUUAACUGACGCUGAGGCACGAAGGCCAGGGGAGCGAAAGGGAUUAGAUACCCUAGUAGUC